This 72-nucleotide transfer RNA is filed under the name Pseudocorticium jarrei. RNAcentral's name for it is "tRNA-Glu". It matches the Rfam family "tRNA". Rfam says of the family: Transfer RNA (tRNA) molecules are approximately 80 nucleotides in length. Their secondary structure includes four short double-helical elements and three loops (D, anti-codon, and T loops). The record is from RNAcentral. Lineage: Eukaryota; Metazoa; Porifera; Homoscleromorpha; Homosclerophorida; Oscarellidae.
GCUCCUAUCGUCUAGUGGUCAGGACAUUUGGUUUUCGAUCAAAAAGCAGGGGUUCAAUUCUCCUUAGGAGUA